RNAcentral lists this ribosomal RNA (253 nucleotides) under uncultured bacterium. RNAcentral's name for it is "partial 16S ribosomal RNA". It matches the Rfam family "Bacterial small subunit ribosomal RNA", at positions 524 to 776 of the family's 1533-position model. The record is from RNAcentral.
UACAGAGGGGGCAAGCGUUAUUCGGAAUUAUUGGGCGUAAAGGGCGCGCAGGCGGUUUUUUAAGUCUGAUGUGAAAGCCCCGGGCUUACCCCGGGAAGUGCAUUGGAUACUGGGAGACUUGAGUACGGGAGAGGAGAGCGGAAUUCCUGGUGUAGGGGUGAAAUCCGUAGAUAUCAGGAGGAACAUCGGUGGCGAAGGCGGCUCUCUGGACCGAUACUGACGCUGAGGCGCGAAAGCAUGGGGAGCAAACAGG